GACGGUCGGCGGUCUUGGUGCGGCUUCCCGCCGCCUAGCUCCCAGGGCGGGGACAGCGGGCGGGCGCAUGUGCGCGCGAGGCACGCCCACGGAAUUCGGGCUACGGCCCUCGAGACGAAGCUGUUCCCGAAUUCUUCUCCAGUCUGGCACCCUCCAGGUGCUGGCUGGGAGGUUUUACUCGUAUGCCAGCUGGAAGACGGUAAGUUAGGGAAAGUUGAUUUAGUCAUCCUCUCUUCCAGCCAGUGCCCAGAAUGAUGGUCGAAGGCCGUAGUGUGCAUCAAAUAUGGCCACGUCCCCAGAGCAUUUAACCAGUAAAUCUGGAGUUGAGUGGCCUUAUUUCCAGGCUGCUGAAUACCUCUGGGCCCAGUCAACUCAAGAGGAGCCAGCUGACAAGGAAAGUGUGCGAUCUAGGAAAUAUCCCAGGCAUUCCCACUGAAAUAAGCAUGUCCCCUUUGAUGUGCCAGGAACAGAUGCUAUCUGUGUGCAGUAGGGGUCCACAAGGAAUAUACUGUUGAAUAAAAGGGUCAGGUGGCAACUGGA
Molecule: long non-coding RNA, 540 nt
Organism: Python bivittatus (Burmese python)
Lineage: Eukaryota; Metazoa; Chordata; Lepidosauria; Squamata; Pythonidae
Source: RefSeq, a predicted model, not a curated record